RNA transcript from Carya illinoinensis, 2729 nucleotides. It is a transcript of the gene named putative RNA polymerase II subunit B1 CTD phosphatase RPAP2 homolog, with no coding region annotated. Lineage: Eukaryota; Viridiplantae; Streptophyta; Magnoliopsida; Fagales; Juglandaceae. The transcript has 7 exons. The record is from RefSeq and is a predicted model, not a curated record.
CGCCAUCGAAGCCCUUCUAAAACCCCCAAUUUCGUUGUCUCCCGACUCUCCUCCUGCGUCCCUCCAAGCAACCUUCUCUCCCGCUUCCUGGUAACUGUGUAUCUGUUGAACUGAAAUUUCCGAAUCCGGUUUUAAAGAGUAAACUUCAUCUGAAUUUGAUUGGGUCUCAGAUAACACCGGAAACAGCACUUGAGUGUUUCAUAGAAGUAAUAACUUCGAAUUGCUUCUGAUUUUGUAUCACCAUAAACGUUGAGAAAAUUCUUCGGCCACCUUGGUAUCUAUGGUUUUCUUAUGAAAUUUCCUAAAUUGCAGCACCUCGAUCUAAGAUUCUGCCUGAUUACUUACGGUGAAUUCGAACUUACACCUGUUUACACAAAGUCACUGCAUAUAGCCCCAACAAUCAACAUCAAAGUCUAAGGCUAGAAUAUUUUCUUCGAUGGCAAAGGAUCAAUCAAUCUCAGUGAAAGAUGCUGUUUACAAACUGCAACUUUCCCUCCUUGAAGGCAUCCAAGAUGAAAACCAUCUUUUUGCUGCUGGAUCUCUGAUGUCUCGCAGUGACUAUGAAGACGUUGUGACUGAGCGUUCAAUUGUGAACCUCUGUGGCUACCCUCUUUGCCGCAAUUCUCUGCCAGCUGAUCGCCCUCGAAAGGGACGCUACCGCAUUUCCUUGAAGGAACACAAGGUUUAUGACCUACAGGAGACAUACAUGUAUUGCUCUUCAAGCUGUGCUGUUAACAGUCAAGCUUUUGCUAAGAGCUUGCAAGAUGAAAGAUGCUCAGUUUUGGACUUGGAUAAACUUAAUGAGGUUUUGAGGUUAUUUGGGAACUUGAGUUUGGACUCCAAGGAUGGUUUGGGAAAGAAUGGGGAUUUAGGAUUGUCUGGCUUGACAAUUCAGGAGAAACCAAAAACCAAGGUUGGGGAAGUGCCUUUGGAGGAGUGGGUUGGUCCAUCAAAUGCAAUUGAAGGCUAUGUUCCACAGAGGGAACGCAGUUCCAAGUCCUCACUUUUGAAAAAUCCCAAAGGAGGGUCCAAAGCUAGGCAUACCAAAUUGAAUAGUGAAAAAGACUUCGUCAUCAAUGAGAUGGACUUCAUCAGUACUAUAAUCACUGAAGAUGAAUAUAGUGUCUCAAAAAUGCCAUCAGGUUCAACAAAGACUCCUUCUGACGAUAAAAUAAGGGAACCGAAAGGAAAAGUGAAUUGUAAAGACUUGGAGGAUCAAGUUGCCAUACGUGAAAAACCAUCCGCUCCCACAAAGAAUCCUGGUGAAAGGAAAUCAAGAGAAUCAAAAGGGGAAGAGAGUAGAAUGGCCACCAAAGGUGAGUAUAUCAUCACAGGGUUGCCUUCAACUUCAAACCCCUGCCCAACUAGUUCCAGUGUAAGUACUGCAGAAGCAGAAGAGGAAGCCGCCGAUGAGAAAGCAGCUAUGUCAAAGGAAACUACGUGCAAAUCCUCUUUUAAACCUUCGGGUAUGAAAAAAUCUGGUCGCACUGUUACCUGGGCUGAUGAGAAAGUUGAUGGCAGUGGGGAUGGAAAUCUUUGUGAGGUUAGUGACAUGGAAGAUAAAAAGGAAGCUCCUGAAAGAUUAAGUGGUAAAGAUGUGGAAGAUAAUGAUGAAAAGUUACGCUUUGACUCGGCAGAAGCUUGUGCAAUAGCAUUAAACGAGGCAGCAGAGGCUGUUGCUUCUGGAGAAUCUGAUGCCAGAGAUGCCAUCUCUGAAGCUGGAAUUAUUAUACUGCCACAUCAAGGAGAUGUAGAUGAAGGGGAAUUGAUGGAUGAUAUUGAUAUGCUCGAAUCCGAACCAACUCCUUUAAAGUGGCCGAGAAAACCUGGGGUUCCACAUUCUGAGUUGUUUAACCCUGAAGAUUCGUGGUAUGAUGCUCCGCCAGAGGGUUUCAAUUUGACUUUAUCACCUUUUGCCAAAAUGUGGAUGGCUCUCUUUGCAUGGACAACAGCGUCUUCUUUGGCUUAUAUAUAUGGGAAGGAUGAGAGUUUUCAUGAAGAGUACCAUUCCGUUAAUGGGAGGGAGUACCCCAAUAAGAUUGUCUUGGCAGAUGGUCGUUCUUCUGAAAUAAAGCAAACUCUUGCUGGUUGUCUUGCUCGGGCUUUGCCUGGACUAAUUGCGGAUUUGAGACUGCCAACACCAAUAUCUAUUUUGGAGCGAGGAUUGUUUUAUGCAGGGGCGCUUGUUGGAUACAAUGACUUUUUUGGAUGCACUUCCAGCUUUCAGAUCGAAACAGUGGCAAGUGAUUGUUCUUCUGUUUAUUGAAGCUCUCUCUGUUUGUAGGAUCCCUGCACUUACCUCACACUUGACUAAUAGGAGGAUGUUUUUGACAAAGGUGUUGGAUGGUGCCCAAAUAAGUGUGGAAGAGUAUGAGAUUAUGAAGGAUCUAAUGAUUCCUCUCGGCAGGGUUCCUCAUUUCUCAUCACAGAGUGGAGCUUGACUGAGAAAAACGUCAACUACGAAUGCAAAAGCAAUUGUACAUUUAUAUUUCAAUGGUCACCAGACUUGGUUUUUGUUUUAUGGUUUCUUUCAAGCACUGAGGAAAGUUUGAUUUGGCCAUGAAAUCAAGAAAAUUUGAUACCCUAGUUCCAAACAAUGAGAAGAAAGAAAACCUUGCCAAAUUGCCACCUAACCUUGUGUAAUGAGCGGUAAGAAAGUUCUUAACUUUGGAACUUCAAUGUACAUCCUUAUAUCGGGAAAGAAAGGCGAUGGACAUUUUUUUUGUUUA